GGGUCGUUAGCUCAGUUGGUAGAGCAGCGGACUUUUAAUCCGUUGGUCGCAGGUUCGAGCCCCGCACGGCCUACCA
Molecule: transfer RNA, 76 nt
Filed under: Telluria mixta
Lineage: Bacteria; Pseudomonadati; Pseudomonadota; Betaproteobacteria; Burkholderiales; Oxalobacteraceae
Also listed under: 41 other names
Description: tRNA-Lys
Rfam family: tRNA
About the family: Transfer RNA (tRNA) molecules are approximately 80 nucleotides in length. Their secondary structure includes four short double-helical elements and three loops (D, anti-codon, and T loops).
Source: RNAcentral